RNAcentral lists this non-coding RNA (21 nucleotides) under Caenorhabditis elegans. The record is from RNAcentral. Lineage: Eukaryota; Metazoa; Nematoda; Chromadorea; Rhabditida; Rhabditidae.
UCAUCCAUUUUUCGAUUUUGG